Small nucleolar RNA from Balaenoptera musculus (blue whale), 93 nucleotides. Lineage: Eukaryota; Metazoa; Chordata; Mammalia; Artiodactyla; Balaenopteridae. The record is from Ensembl.
AAAAUGUCUUUUUAACACCCGACAAGAAUCUGGGUUCAUUGUGACAAGGGACACAAACCUUGUGGCCUUCCUGUGAACAAAUACCCACCACAU